UACAGAGGGGGCAAGCGUUGUUCGGAAUUACUGGGCGUAAAGGGCGCGUAGGCGGCCUGCUAAGUCGAACGUGAAAUCCCUGGGCUCAACCCAGGAACUGCGUCCGAUACUGGCUGGCUUGAAUUCGGGAGAGGGAUGCGGAAUUCCAGGUGUAGCGGUGAAAUGCGUAGAUAUCUGGAGGAACACCGGUGGCGAAGGCGGCAUCCUGGACCGAUAUUGACGCUGAGGCGCGAAAGCCAGGGGAGCAAACAGG
This 253-nucleotide ribosomal RNA is filed under the name uncultured bacterium. Its description in RNAcentral is "partial 16S ribosomal RNA". It matches the Rfam family "Bacterial small subunit ribosomal RNA", at positions 524 to 776 of the family's 1533-position model. The record is from RNAcentral.